GGUACAGACACAUGGAGAAGGUAGACAGACACAUGGAGAAGGUACAGACACAUGGAGAAGGUAGACAGACACAUGGAGAAGGUAGACAGACACAUGGAGAAGGUACAGACACAUGGAGAAGGUACAGACAGACACAUGGAGAAGGUACAGACACAUGGAGAAGGUAGACAGACACAUGGAGAAGGUACAGACACACGGAGAAGGUAGACAGACACAUGGAGAAGGUAGACAGACACAUGGAGAAGGUACAGACACAUGGAGAAGGUACAGACAGACACAUGGAGAAGGUACAGACACACGGAGAAGGUACAGACACACGGAGAAGGUAGACAGACACACGGAGAAGGUAGACAGACACAUGGAGAAGGUACAGACACAUGGAGAAGGUACAGACACAUGGAGAAGGUAGACAGACACAUGGAGAAGGUACAGACACAUGGAGAAGGUACAGACACAUGGAGAAGG
Non-coding RNA from Salmo salar (Atlantic salmon), 465 nucleotides. The record is from RefSeq and is a predicted model, not a curated record. NCBI's taxonomy places the organism in Eukaryota, Metazoa, Chordata, Actinopteri, Salmoniformes, Salmonidae.